Molecule: long non-coding RNA, 1217 nt
Filed under: Sinocyclocheilus anshuiensis
Lineage: Eukaryota; Metazoa; Chordata; Actinopteri; Cypriniformes; Cyprinidae
Description: lncRNA (ENSSANG00000012238.1)
Source: RNAcentral
GCAUGCAUCUUUUCAAUGAUUCCCAAAAUAAGCAUUGAUCCUGUAUAAUUGUCUGUUUUUUGGACUUAUUUUAACACUUAACAGGGGACACAGGCAUCACUGAAACAGUGAAACUUGGUGGCACUGUAUUGGAUGAGGUUACUGACUGGAUUAGAUUCCCAGUGGCUUACUUAUUCCACUUAUUUGAAGGUACCUACAUUACAGAAAUAAUUGGCUGUUGUUGUUUUGCAGGCUGACAGGCAAUCAAAGACUCAUGAUGUGCUCCAACUCAAGAAAAUAUUUCAAUCAACAUUUGAAAUUCCCAAAUGAGAAAGAAAUGAGUCGUAUUCGAGCAUGUCAGUAAAACAUGAUUUUAGCUGCUCACUGACUUCUGUUUAAUGCUUUACAUGCUGCAUAGAUAUCCUGGAUGUAGCAAUCAUCUAUCCAGCAGACAUUGCCAGUGAAGCAGCUCUGCAAAUUUUAAGUGGGAUCAAGACCAUUUCUUCAACCAUAUUCGGGAACCUUGAAGCUUGGUUUCCCAAAAUGAGCACUGAUCCUGCGGAGCUGGCUGAAAUAGUUGUAGAGGAGGCCGCAGAAGUAAAGACCACCGUUUCUAAUUACCUAUCCAGUCUGUUUGCAGCGGAUGAAGGUGGUAUUCCUGACCUUAGCUUUGAUCCCAUGAAAGUUGUCACAGACACUGUUGAGGAGUUUGAUGACAGGAGGGAUAUGUUCUUGGCUUAUCUCUCAAACAUGCUCAUGGAAGACAAAGAUGACACACCGCAAGUGAUAAGACGUAAAGGAGAAUUUCUGCCCCCUAUGGAAAAAGGUUAGUAAAUGCACAUUAUUUAAUUUACAUAAACGCUCUAUAUUAACACAAAACUAACACUAGUACUCAAACCUCAAGCAUUUAUAAUGCAAGAUCUUGAAUUGACUAAAAUUAUAGUUUUCUGCUUCGUUGUCAUCCCAUGCCUAUUGCACAGUUAUGUUGUGUCUUACCCUGUUUCAGUCCAUUUGGUAAUUAGUACAUUUAGAAAACAGUGAUAGAGGUUAUGUAAUACGGUGCAUGAAAAGGACCUGCAUGACUGCAUAAGGGAUGAUUGUCAUUUAUAUUUUCUGUCUGUACUAUAGUGUUAAUUUUAAUGUCCUGCACUCUCUAUCUCACACAGUACUCCCAUGAUUCUUCACAUUAUGUAAAAAUGUGUGUGUUUAAUUUCUCUAGAAUGGUUUAAAAGAAGGUG